UACAGGGGGAUAACAGUUGGAAACGACUGCUAAUACCGCAUAAGCGUCACAGGAUUGCAUGAUCCAGUGUGAAAAACUCCGGUGGUAUGAGAUGGACCCGCGUCUGAUUAGCCAGUUGGCGGGGUAACGGCCCACCAAAGCGACGAUCAGUAGCCGACCUGAGACGGGUGACCGGCCACAUUGGGACUGAGACACGGCCCAAACUCCUACGGGAGGCAGCAGUGGGGAAUAUUGCACAAUGGGGGAAACCCUGAUGCAGCGACGCCGCGUGAGCGAAGAAGUAUUUCGGUAUGUAAAGCUCUAUCAGCAGGGAAGAAGAAUGACGGUACCUGACUAAGAAGCACCGGCUAAAUACGUG
RNAcentral lists this ribosomal RNA (358 nucleotides) under uncultured bacterium. RNAcentral's name for it is "bacterial SSU rRNA". It matches the Rfam family "Bacterial small subunit ribosomal RNA", at positions 134 to 507 of the family's 1533-position model. The record is from RNAcentral.